UACGAAGGGGGCUAGCGUUGCUCGGAAUCACUGAGCGUAAAGCGCACGUAGGCGGAUUGUUAAGUCAGGGGUGAAAUCCUGGAGCUCAACUCCAGAACUGCCUUUGAUACUGGCGAUCUUGAGUCCGGGAGAGGUGAGUGGAACUGCGAGUGUAGAGGUGAAAUUCGUAGAUAUCAGGAAGAACACCCGUGGCGAAGGCGGCUCUCUGGGACGGUACUGACGCUGAGACGCGAAAGCGUGGGGAGCGAACAGG
This 253-nucleotide ribosomal RNA is filed under the name uncultured bacterium. RNAcentral describes it as "partial 16S ribosomal RNA". It matches the Rfam family "Bacterial small subunit ribosomal RNA", at positions 524 to 776 of the family's 1533-position model. The record is from RNAcentral.